AGAAGGUGCUCCUCCAAAGCCUCCAGAAGAUGCUCCUCCGAAGCCUCCAGAAGAUGCUCCUCCGAAGCCUCCAGAAGGUGCUCCUCCAAAGCCUCCAGAAGGUGCUCCUCCGAAGCCUCCAGAAGGUGCUCCGCCGAAGCCUCCAGAAGGUGCUCCUCCGAAGCCUCCAGAAGAUGCUCCUCCAAAGCCUCUAGAAGGUGCUCCUCCAAAGCCUCCAGAAGGUGCUCCUCCAAAGCCUCCAGAAGGUGCUCCUCCAAAGCCUCCUGAAGGUGCUCCUGAGAACUGAGACGAGGAGCCCGACGCAGCUGCGUACGAUCCUCGACCA
Non-coding RNA from Procambarus clarkii (red swamp crayfish), 325 nucleotides. Lineage: Eukaryota; Metazoa; Arthropoda; Malacostraca; Decapoda; Cambaridae. The record is from RefSeq and is a predicted model, not a curated record.